This 431-nucleotide ribosomal RNA is filed under the name uncultured Elusimicrobium sp. RNAcentral describes it as "bacterial SSU rRNA". It matches the Rfam family "Bacterial small subunit ribosomal RNA", at positions 958 to 1385 of the family's 1533-position model. The record is from RNAcentral. Lineage: Bacteria; Pseudomonadati; Elusimicrobiota; Elusimicrobia; Elusimicrobiales; Elusimicrobiaceae.
AACGCGAAGAACCUUACCUGGGCUUGAACUACUCGUGGUAAGCUGAUGGAAACAUUGGCUGACCCGCAAGGGAGCGAGCAGAGGUGCUGCAUGGUUGUCGUCAGCUCGUGUCGUGAGAUGUUGGGUUAAGUCCCGCAACGAGCGCAACCCCUACUCGAUGUUGCUAAUCCCGCAAGGGAUGCACUCUUCGAGAACUGCCUUCGAUAAGAAGGAGGAAGGUGGGGACGACGUCAAAUCCUCAUGGCCCUUAUGUCCAGGGCUACACACGUGCUACAAUGGCCGGUACAACGGGAAGCAAUGCCGCAAGGUGGAGCCAAACCCUGAAAGCCGGCCUCAGUUCAGAUCGUGGGCUGCAACUCGCCCGCGUGAAGGCGGAAUCGCUAGUAAUCGCGAAUCAGCAGGUCGCGGUGAAUACGUUCCCGGGCCUUGUA